UACGGAGGGUGCAAGCGUUAUCCGGAUUCACUGGGUUUAAAGGGUGCGUAGGCGGGUUGGUAAGUCCGUGGUGAAAUCUCCGAGCUUAACUCGGAAACUGCCGUGGAUACUAUCAAUCUUGAAUAUCGUGGAGGUAAGCGGAAUAUGUCAUGUAGCGGUGAAAUGCUUAGAUAUGACAUAGAACACCAAUUGCGUAGGCAGCUUACUACACGAUCAUUGACGCUGAGGCACGAAAGCGUGGGGAGCAAACGGG
RNAcentral lists this ribosomal RNA (253 nucleotides) under uncultured bacterium. RNAcentral's name for it is "partial 16S ribosomal RNA". It matches the Rfam family "Bacterial small subunit ribosomal RNA", at positions 524 to 776 of the family's 1533-position model. The record is from RNAcentral.